RNAcentral lists this ribosomal RNA (497 nucleotides) under uncultured bacterium. Its description in RNAcentral is "partial 16S ribosomal RNA". It matches the Rfam family "Bacterial small subunit ribosomal RNA", at positions 28 to 507 of the family's 1533-position model. The record is from RNAcentral.
GAUGAACGCUGGCGGCGUGCCUAAUACAUGCAAGUCGAGCGAACAGACGAGGAGCUUGCUCCUCUGAUGUUAGCGGCGGACGGGUGAGUAACACGUGGAUAACCUACCUAUAAGACUGGGAUAACUUCGGGAAACCGGAGCUAAUACCGGAUAACAUGUUGAACCGCAUGGUUCAACAGUGAAAGACGGUCUUGAUGUUACUUAUAGAUGGAUCCGCGCCGCAUUAGCUAGUUGGUAAGGUAACGGCUUACCAAGGCAACGAUGCGUAGCCGACCUGAGAGGGUGAUCGGCCACACUGGAACUGAGACACGGUCCAGACUCCUACGGGAGGCAGCAGUAGGGAAUCUUCCGCAAUGGGCGAAAGCCUGACGGAGCAACGCCGCGUGAGUGAAGAAGGUCUUCGGAUCGUAAAACUCUGUUAUUAGGGAAGAACAAAUGUGUAAGUAACUAUGCACGUCUUGACGGUACCUAAUCAGAAAGCCACGGCUAACUACGUG